CUGAUAUCCAUCUCACCCGCUUCUAAGUGUCCGUCACAGCCGGCGUGGAAACCUGGAAGUUCCCUCCAGAUUUCACAACGCUUAGUUUCCAAUCUCCUUAUGUUUCAGGUCUUGGAUCUGUUCCUGGGCUCCUGCACACUGAUAUCCAUCUCACCCGCUUCAAAGUGUCCAUCAUAGCCGGCGUGGAAACCUGGAAGUUCCCUCCAGAUUGCACAAUGCUUUCUUUACACUCUCCUUGUGUUUCAGGUCUUGGAUCUCUUUGUGGGCUCCUGCUCACUGGUAUCCAUCUCACCCGCUUGUAACUAUCAAUUACAGCCUUCGUGGAAACCUGGGGGUUCCCUCCAGAUUUCACAACGCUUUCUUUCCAAUCUCCUUAUGUUUCAGGUCUUGGAUCUCUUCCUGGGCUCCUGCACUCUGAUAUCCAUCUCACCCGCUUGUAACUAUCAAUUACAGCCUUCGUGGAAACCUGGGGGUUCCCUCCAGAUUUCACGACGCUUUCUUUCCAAUCUCCUUCUGUUUCAGGUCUUGGAUCUGUUCCUGGGCUCCUGCUCACUGGUAUCCAUCUCACCCGCUUGUAAUUGUGCGUCACAGCCGGCGUGGAAACCUGGAGGUUCCCUCCAGAUUUCACAACGCUGUUUUUCCAAUCUCCUUGUGUUUCAGGUCUUGGAUCUGUUCCUGGGCUCCUGCACUCUGAUAUCCAUCUCACCCGCUUGUAAGUGUCCGUCACAACCAGCGUGGAAACCUGGAGGUUCCCUCCAGAUUUCACAACGCUGUCUUUCCAAUCGCCUUGUGUUUCAGGUCUUGGAUCUGUUCGUGGGCUCCUGCACUCUGAUAUCCAUCUCACCCGCUUGUAAGUAUCCGUCACAACCAGCGUGGAAACCUGGAGGUUCCCUUCAGAUUUCACAAUGCUUUCUUUCAAAUCUACUUAUGUUUCAGGUCUUGG
Long non-coding RNA from Oreochromis aureus, 943 nucleotides. Lineage: Eukaryota; Metazoa; Chordata; Actinopteri; Cichliformes; Cichlidae. The record is from Ensembl.